AGUGGCAGACGGGUGAGUAACGCGUGGGAACGUGCCCUUCGGUACGGAAUAGCCUCGGGAAACUGAGAGUAAUACCGUAUGCGCCGGAAACGGGAAAGAUUUAUCGCCGAAGGAUCGGCCCGCGUUGGAUUAGCUAGUUGGCGGUGUAAAGGACCACCAAGGCGACGAUCCAUAGCUGGUCUGAGAGGAUGAUCAGCCACACUGGGACUGAGACACGGCCCAGACUCCUACGGGAGGCAGCAGUCGGGAAUCUUGGACAAUGGGCGCAAGCCUGAUCCAGCCAUGCCGCGUGAGUGAAGAAGGCCUUAGGGUUGUAAAACUCUUUCGCCGGAGAAGAUAAUGACGGUAUCCGGAGAAGAAGCCCCGGCUAACUUCGUGCCAGCAGCCGCGGUAAUACGAAGGGGGCUAGCGUUGUUCGGAAUUACUGGGCGUAAAGCGCACGCAGGCGGAUCGACAAGUUGGGGGUGAAAUCCCGGGGCUCAACCUCGGAACUGCCUUCAAAACUAUCGAUCUAGAGGUCAGGAGAGGCGAGCGGAAUUCCGAGUGUAGAGGUGAAAUUCGUAGAUAUUCGGAGGAACACCAGUGGCGAAGGCGGCUCGCUGGACUGAUACUGACGCUCAGGUGCGAAAGCGUGGGGAGCAAACAGGAUUAGAUACCCUGGUAGUCCACGCCUUAAACGAUGAGAGCUAGUUGUCGGUA
This 699-nucleotide ribosomal RNA is filed under the name uncultured Ochrobactrum sp. RNAcentral's name for it is "bacterial SSU rRNA". It matches the Rfam family "Bacterial small subunit ribosomal RNA", at positions 94 to 828 of the family's 1533-position model. Lineage: Bacteria; Pseudomonadati; Pseudomonadota; Alphaproteobacteria; Hyphomicrobiales; Brucellaceae. The record is from RNAcentral.